RNAcentral lists this ribosomal RNA (407 nucleotides) under uncultured bacterium. RNAcentral describes it as "partial 16S ribosomal RNA". It matches the Rfam family "Bacterial small subunit ribosomal RNA", at positions 28 to 526 of the family's 1533-position model. The record is from RNAcentral.
GACGAACGCUGGCGGCGUGCCUAAUACAUGCAAGUAGGACGCAGUUGCGAACGGGUGAGUAACGCGUAGGUAACUACCUAUUAGAGGGGGAUAACUAUUGGAAACGAUAGCUAAUACCGCAUACUAGUAGAUGGACCUGCGUUGUAUUAGCUAGUAGGUAGGGUAAUGGCCUACCUAGGCAACGAUACAUAGCCGAGCCUGGAAGGUGGACCGCCACACUGGGAAUGAGACACGGCCCAGACUCCUACGGGGAGCAGCAGUAGGGAAGCUUCGGCAAUUGGGGGAACCCCGACCGAGCAAAGCCGGGUUAGUGAAGAAGGUUUUCGGAUCUGAAAUGUCUGUUGUUAAGGAAGCGGUACUUAACGAGAAAGGGACGGCUAACUACGUGCCAGCAGCCGCGGUAAUAC